This 252-nucleotide ribosomal RNA is filed under the name uncultured bacterium. Its description in RNAcentral is "partial 16S ribosomal RNA". It matches the Rfam family "Bacterial small subunit ribosomal RNA", at positions 524 to 776 of the family's 1533-position model. The record is from RNAcentral.
UACGUAGGCAGCGAGCGUUGUUCGGAACUACUGGGCGUAAAGAGUGUGUAGGCGGUGCUCUAAGUUCGGUGUGAAAUCUCCUGCUUAACUGGGAGGGUGCGCCGGAAACUGGAGUGCUUGAGCGUGGGAGAGGAAAGCGGAAUUCCUGGUGUAGCGGUGAAAUGCGUAGAUAUCAGGAGGAACACCUGUGGUGUAGACGGCUUUCUGGACCAUAGCUGACGCUGAGACACGAAAGCGUGGGUAGCAAACAGG